RNAcentral lists this ribosomal RNA (465 nucleotides) under Vreelandella stevensii. RNAcentral's name for it is "partial 16S ribosomal RNA". It matches the Rfam family "Bacterial small subunit ribosomal RNA", at positions 338 to 795 of the family's 1533-position model. The record is from RNAcentral. Lineage: Bacteria; Pseudomonadati; Pseudomonadota; Gammaproteobacteria; Oceanospirillales; Halomonadaceae.
CCUACGGGUGGCUGCAGUGGGGAAUAUUGGACAAUGGGGGCAACCCUGAUCCAGCCAUGCCGCGUGUGUGAAGAAGGCCCUCGGGUUGUAAAGCACUUUCAGUGAGGAAGAACGCCUGGUGGUUAAUACCCAUCAGGAAAGACAUCACUCACAGAAGAAGCACCGGCUAACUCCGUGCCAGCAGCCGCGGUAAUACGGAGGGUGCGAGCGUUAAUCGGAAUUACUGGGCGUAAAGCGCGCGUAGGUGGCUUGAUAAGCCGGUUGUGAAAGCCCCGGGCUCAACCUGGGAACGGCAUCCGGAACUGUCAAGCUAGAGUGCAGGAGAGGAAGGUAGAAUUCCCGGUGUAGCGGUGAAAUGCGUAGAGAUCGGGAGGAAUACCAGUGGCGAAGGCGGCCUUAUGGACUGACACUGACACUGAGGUGCGAAAGCGUGGGUAGCAAACAGGAUUAGAUACCCGUGUAGUC